CCUACGGGAGGCAGCAGUGGGGGAUAUUGCACAAUGGGGGAAACCCUGAUGCAGCGACGCCGCGUGUGGGAAGACGGCCCUCUGGAUUGUAAACCACUGUCCCCAGGGACGAAGAUGACGGUACCUGGGGAGGAAGCUCCGGCAAACUACGUGCAAGCAGCCGCGGUAAUACGUAGGGAGCGCGCGUUGUCCGGAAUUACUGGGUGUAAGGGGAGCGUAGGCGGGACUGCAGGUUGCGUGUCAAAUCUACCGGCUCAACCGGUAGCCGCGCUCAGAACUGCAGUUCUUGAGUGAAGUAGAGGCAGGCGGAAUUCCUAGUGUAGCGGUGAAAUGCGUAGAUAUUAGGAGGAACACCAGUGGCGAAGGCGGCCUGCUGGGCUUUUACUGACGCUGAGGCUCGAAAGUGUGGGGAGCGAACAGGAUUAGAUACCCGUGUAGUC
Molecule: ribosomal RNA, 440 nt
Filed under: uncultured bacterium
Lineage: Bacteria
Description: partial 16S ribosomal RNA
Rfam family: Bacterial small subunit ribosomal RNA
Source: RNAcentral